RNAcentral lists this ribosomal RNA (465 nucleotides) under Vreelandella stevensii. RNAcentral's name for it is "partial 16S ribosomal RNA". It matches the Rfam family "Bacterial small subunit ribosomal RNA", at positions 338 to 795 of the family's 1533-position model. The record is from RNAcentral. Lineage: Bacteria; Pseudomonadati; Pseudomonadota; Gammaproteobacteria; Oceanospirillales; Halomonadaceae.
CCUACGGGGGGCUGCAGUGGGGAAUAUUGGACAAUGGGGGGAACCCUGAUCCAGCCAUGCCGCGUGUGUGAAGAAGGCCCUCGGGUUGUAAAGCACUUUCAGUGAGGAAGAACGCCUGGUGGUUAAUACCCAUCAGGAAAGACAUCACUCACAGAAGAAGAACCGGCUAACUCCGUGCCAGCAGCCGCGGUAAUACGGAGGGUGCGAGCGUUAAUCGGAAUUACUGGGCGUAAAGCGCGCGUAGGUGGCUUGAUAAGCCGGUUGUGAAAGCCCCGGGCUCAACCUGGGAACGGCAUCCGGAACUGUCAAGCUAGAGUGCAGGAGAGGAAGGUAGAAUUCCCGGUGUAGCGGUGAAAUGCGUAGAGAUCGGGAGGAAUACCCGUGGCGAAGGCGGCCUUCUGGACUGACACUGACACUGAGGUGCGAAAGCGUGGGUAGCAAACAGGAUUAGAUACCCUAGUAGUC